GUGUUAAAAUUUUGCACCUAAAAUAAAUUCAAGUGACUAACGUUUUUGUGUAGUUCAAUUUAGCCACAUUUUAUCACAUUAGAGAUUUUUUAAAGAAACACAAAAAUCAUACAAAUGGCUUUAAGAUAAUUUAGCGUAGUGAAGCAUGACCAAUAGGUCAGUUUUCUCACCAGUCAUACUAUGGGUGGAAGGUGAUACUGAAAGUAAUUUUUUUUUUCCAUCAGAAAGCAGAAGCAUGGUCUUCUCACUUCUACUUUGGCCUGGAACAACUUUACGUGACUUCUUGUUUCUUAGGGAAGGCAAUGGGAAGAAAGAAGAAAUAGCAUGGAACAUAUGUAUGUUUGUUUCAUAAGGAAGGUACUCUGAGAAAUGAAGAAAGAGCAUGAACAAUAUAUAUAUACAUAUUGCAUAUAUAUAUUCAUGAAAAAAGUUGCACAAGUGUCUAUUUCUCAGUAUUUAAGUACUUGGAGUGUUAUUUUAAGGAAUAUGGUAGAACCCUGACAUCCGGAAGACUCUAUUUUCUGAGAAUCCACGUGUCUAAAAAAGAAAAGUUGAACACUUCCAGGAAAGUGAUAGUUAAAAAUGAAUGGAAUAUUAACAGAGUUUUAUCAAUCAACAGCUUGUAAAAAUGUUUAAAGAGCUAGGUACAUUUUUAAUGCAGAGCAGAAAAGUACAACUUAUUUAAUGCAUCAAAAAGUAAAUAUUUUAUAGAAAUGUGAUUUGGAAUCCUUGCGGAGAUAAGCUGUGUCAGUUGCCUUUCAUUUGAAUUUAGUAGAAAUCUAGAAGUCAUGCGUCAGUUGGUACAACUGUAUCCCAUUUUGGCAGUCCUUCAAAAUUUGUCUUAGCAAGCGCUAUUGACAUUUCACUGGGCUUAAACGAUAAGCCAGUCUAAGGCCACAGCGAACACACCUCAACUCCCCACAGUGUUGUGUACACUGUUGUUGAUCUCGUAGAGACAUUGAGUAGUGCCUUUUUAGCUCCUUCGCAUCGCUUUCUUACUCUGUGCUUUGCGUUCUCUGUGUCUUCUGCCCAGUUCUGAAAAUUGCCUGGUAGAAAAAAGGGCUUCAGUGUCAGCGGAGACUACUAUUUUUCAUCUCAGGGAACUUUCAAUACUCAAGAAUGAACUUGAUGAAAGGUAUUUAGUGUUCAAACAAGACAGAUUCUACAAGACCAUCUCAUUCCCUAUUGUCUAAGCUUCCAUCUGCCCUCCCCCUUAGCUGUAGUCUGGGUUUUUUCAUAAGAUUGGAACAAAUAUCUCAUGGAAGGCCAACAAAAAGAUGGAGAACCGAGACUUAACUAGCAAGGGGGCAUAAGGAAUCAUAGCAAAAAAUCUAAGUACAUACUUGAAAUACCUGGGUUUGUUUAGUUUUGUUUGGGCAAUGAUCAUCCAUGCACAGCUUUAUUUUGUACAUCUUUCACAGCUUCAUCCUCCAUCUGGCGAUGCUGAGGCAGCUGAUUGUGAAAUAUCCCUUUGCUUUAGAUACUACGGUUGUUGCUGUGCUGUUGACAUGAAUAGGCCAUGAAACAUGUUCCCCAUUAUUAUUCAGCCUGUUCUAUAGUCAAUAUUAAGUUGCUGAAACAAAGCAAAUCAGUAACAGAUUUUUCUUUUUCUGGGCAAAUUCAAUGAUUCAGCCCACAGGAUGGAUACAAUGACUGUGGAAGUUUUCUAUCUGGAAGGUGCUGGGCAUUCAACUGUCUUCAUAUAAUGUAUAUCAUAUGAAUUGUACAUCCAUUGCUAAUGGGAAUUUCUAUAUAUAUGCUUACAGUAGCGAUUUAUUUAAUUAUUGCUGGGGGUGAUGUACAUACCAACUAGUCUCUAAGCUACUAUGAAGGGAAAGGGUAAACAGAAUAACUUAUGUCGAUUGAGCCAGUUAAUCAUAAUGCACAUAAUGUGGUAUUUGGUUCAUAAAAGAAUUGUUUUUAUGUGGUUAUUGUAAGGGUAUUUAUAAUGUGGAAGGGUGUGGGGAGAGUUAUGUAUAGUUAGUUGUUGCCUCCACAAGUUUGGACGCUUUCUCCAUCAAACAUUAUCAGUUUACCAAUGUUUUAAAAACUGAAUAAGGGUUGUUAUUCAUAUCUGAGAAAAGCCAAUCCAAAUAAGCCCACCUAGAAAUAGAUACUUUAUUAUAUAUGUGCUAUAGGUAUAUCUAUAUAGUACAAAUAGACAUGUGUGAUGCAUAUAUACAAUGUUAUAUAUGUGUACCUGUGUGUAUACACACUGAAUUGUAAUACGUACACAAUAGAUUUGUGUUAAUGGUGAUCCCUUCAGGGUCUGCCCUCUGAACAGCCCUGGAGAUUAAUAAGACCACUGUAGAGUAAAGUUCUUUUGAGACUUCAGUUAUUAAUCUGCUUUAAAAAGGAUCUGCUGAAUUCUGUGUUGUUCACGCCUAGAAUUACAUGAAGGAUCUUCUAGUAUGUCGAAUCUUAACAAUAAAAGAAAAAGGAAAAAAUAUUUCUUCAAGCUGGCAAUAUAUUGGAAUUAGAGUUUUCAGAUUGUGGCCCUAGGUCUGUGUUCCUCAUUGAAGUAGCACUUUUUAAAUAAAUACUGUUUUAUUGUGUAGGCAAAAGCACAAGAGUUUGAAGUGUAUAUAGCAAGAGAGAAGAGUUUACAGAGAUAGCCUUGCUGCACAGGAUAAUGCUACUGAAUAAGGUUUAUUCUGUCAGGUUCAUUUUGUUCAACACUGUUUCCCUAUUGUUUGGGCAUAGAAAUCUGGUAUCAUUGUUUUAUCAUUUGUAAAAUUGUAAAAUAAAUUAAAUUCUUUUUUCCAA
Long non-coding RNA from Ochotona princeps (American pika), 2766 nucleotides. RefSeq lists it as uncharacterized. Lineage: Eukaryota; Metazoa; Chordata; Mammalia; Lagomorpha; Ochotonidae. The transcript is spliced from 2 exons. The record is from RefSeq and is a predicted model, not a curated record.